GUGGGGAAUAUUGGGCAAUGGGGGAAACCCUGACCCAGCGACGCCGCGUGAGGGAAGAAGGCCUUAGGGUCGUAAACCUCUGUCGUGUGGGAAGAAGAGCGUGACGGUACCACACGAGGAAGUCCCGGCUAACUACGGGCCAGCAGCCGCGGUAACACGUAGGGGACGAGCGUUGUCCGGAUUUACUGGGCGUAAAGGGCGCGUAGGCGGUCAUUUAAGUCAGCUGUGAAAUGGUUUGGCUUAACCGGAUCAUGCGGUUGAAACUGGAUGACUGGAGUGCUGGAGAGGCAAGUGGAAUUCCCGGUGUAGCGGUGAAAUGCGUAGAGAUCGGGAGGAACACCAGUGGCGAAGGCGACUUACUGGACUGUAACUGACGCUGAGGCGCGAAAGUGUGGGGAGCAAACAGGAUUAGAUACCCGAGUAGUCC
Molecule: ribosomal RNA, 427 nt
Filed under: uncultured bacterium
Lineage: Bacteria
Description: partial 16S ribosomal RNA
Rfam family: Bacterial small subunit ribosomal RNA
Source: RNAcentral